GAUGAACGCUGGCGGCGUGCUUAACACAUGCAAGUCGAACGGAAAGGCCAGUGCUUGCACUGGUACUCGAGUGGCGAACGGGUGAGUAACACGUGGGUGAUCUGCCCUGCACUUCGGGAUAAGCCUGGGAAACUGGGUCUAAUACCGGAUAGGACAAUGGUUUGGAUGCCGUUGUGGAAAGUUUUUUCGGUGUGGGAUGAGCUCGCGGCCUAUCAGCUUGUUGGUGGGGUAAUGGCCUACCAAGGCGUCGACGGGUAGCCGGCCUGAGAGGGUGUACGGCCACAUUGGGCCUGAGAUACGGCCCAGACUCCUACGGGAGGCAGCAGUGGGGAAUAUUGCACAAUGGGCGCAAGCCUGAUGCAGCGACGCCGCGUGGGGGAUGACGGCCUUCGGGUUGUAAACUCCUUUCGCUAGGGACGAAGCGUAUUUGUGACGGUACCUGGAGAAGAAGCACCGGCUAACUACGUG
Molecule: ribosomal RNA, 468 nt
Filed under: uncultured bacterium
Lineage: Bacteria
Description: partial 16S ribosomal RNA
Rfam family: Bacterial small subunit ribosomal RNA
Source: RNAcentral